Molecule: ribosomal RNA, 497 nt
Filed under: uncultured bacterium
Lineage: Bacteria
Description: partial 16S ribosomal RNA
Rfam family: Bacterial small subunit ribosomal RNA
Source: RNAcentral
GAUGAACGCUGGCGGCGUGCCUAAUACAUGCAAGUCGAGCGAACAGACGAGGAGCUUGCUCCUCUGACGUUAGCGGCGGACGGGUGAGUAACACGUGGAUAACCUACCUAUAAGACUGGGAUAACUUCGGGAAACCGGAGCUAAUACCGGAUAAUAUAUUGAACCGCAUGGUUCAAUAGUGAAAGACGGUUUUGCUGUCACUUAUAGAUGGAUCCGCGCCGCAUUAGCUAGUUGGUAAGGUAACGGCUUACCAAGGCAACGAUGCGUAGCCGACCUGAGAGGGUGAUAGGCCACACUGGAACUGGGACACGGUCCAGACUCCUACGGGAGGCAGCAGUAGGGAAUCUUCCGCAAUGGGCGAAAGCCUGACGGAGCAACGCCGCGUGAGUGAUGAAGGUCUUCGGAUCGUAAAACUCUGUUAUUAGGGAAGAACAAAUGUGUAAGUAACUAUGCACGUCUUGACGGUACCUAAUCAGAAAGCCCCGGCUAACUACGUG